UUGAACGCUGGCGGCAGGCCUAACACAUGCAAGUCGAACGGUAACAUUUCUAGCUUGCUAGAAGAUGACGAGUGGCGGACGGGUGAGUAAUGCUUGGGAACUUGCCUUUGCGAGGGGGAUAACAGUUGGAAACGACUGCUAAUACCGCAUAAUGUCUUCGGACCAAACGGGGCUUCGGCUCCGGCGCAAAGAGAGGCCCAAGUGAGAUUAGCUAGUUGGUAAGGUAACGGCUUACCAAGGCGACGAUCUCUAGCUGUUCUGAGAGGAAGAUCAGCCACACUGGGACUGAGACACGGCCCAGACUCCUACGGGAGGCAGCAGUGGGGAAUAUUGCACAAUGGGGGAAACCCUGAUGCAGCCAUGCCGCGUGUGUGAAGAAGGCCUUCGGGUUGUAAAGCACUUUCAGUUGUGAGGAAAAGUUAGUAGUUAAUACCUGCUAGCCGUGACGUUAACAACAGAAGAAGCACCGGCUAACUCCGUGCCAGCAGCCGCGGUAAUACGGAGGGUGCGAGCGUUAAUCGGAAUUACUGGGCGUAAAGCGCACGCAGGCGGUUUGUUAAGCUAGAUGUGAAAGCCCCGGGCUCAACCUGGGAUGGUCAUUUAGAACUGGCAGACUAGAGUCUUGGAGAGGGGAGUGGAAUUCCAGGUGUAGCGGUGAAAUGCGUAGAUAUCUGGAGGAACAUCAGUGGCGAAGGCGACUCCCUGGCCAAAGACUGACGCUCAUGUGCGAAAGUGUGGGUAGCGAACAGGAUUAGAUACCCUGGUAGUCCACACCGUAAACGCUGUCUACUAGCUGUGUGUGCCUUUAAGGCGUGCGUAGCGAAGCUAACGCGCUAAGUAGACCGCCUGGGGAGUACGGCCGCAAGGUUAAAACUCAAAUGAAUUGACGGGGGCCCGCACAAGCGGUGGAGCAUGUGGUUUAAUUCGAUGCAACGCGAAGAACCUUACCUACACUUGACAUGCUGAGAAGUUACUAGAGAUAGUUUCGUGCCUUCGGGAACUCAGACACAGGUGCUGCAUGGCUGUCGUCAGCUCGUGUCGUGAGAUGUUGGGUUAAGUCCCGCAACGAGCGCAACCCUUGUCCUUAGUUGCCAGCCUUAAGUUGGGCACUCUAAGGAGACUGCCGGUGACAAACCG
Molecule: ribosomal RNA, 1137 nt
Filed under: Alteromonas sp. B359
Lineage: Bacteria; Pseudomonadati; Pseudomonadota; Gammaproteobacteria; Alteromonadales; Alteromonadaceae
Description: bacterial SSU rRNA
Rfam family: Bacterial small subunit ribosomal RNA
Source: RNAcentral